RNAcentral lists this ribosomal RNA (864 nucleotides) under uncultured bacterium. Its description in RNAcentral is "bacterial SSU rRNA". It matches the Rfam family "Bacterial small subunit ribosomal RNA", at positions 34 to 896 of the family's 1533-position model. The record is from RNAcentral.
UAUCUGCGGAGGGCCUAACACAUGCAGUCGAACGCGAAAGUCCUUCGGGAUGAGUAGAGUGGCGGACGGGUGAGUAACGCGUAGGAAUCUGUCCUGUAGUGGGGGAUAACUCGGGGAAACUCGAGCUAAUACCGCAUACGCCCCAAGGGGGAAAGCGGGGGAUCUUCGGACCUCGUGCUAUCGGAGGAGCCUGCGUCGGAUUAGCUAGUUGGUAGGGUAAAGGCCUACCAAGGCGACGAUCCGUAGCUGGUCUGAGAGGAUGAUCAGCCACACCGGAACUGAGACACGGUCCGGACUCCUACGGGAGGCAGCAGUGGGGAAUAUUGCGCAAUGGGCGAAAGCCUGACGCAGCCAUGCCGCGUGUGUGAAGAAGGCCUUCGGGUUGUAAAGCACUUUCAGAGGGGAGGAAAGGGCGCUGGCUAAUAUCCAGCGCAGUUGACGCUACCCUCAGAAGAAGCACCGGCUAAUUCCGUGCCAGCAGCCGCGGUAAUACGGAAGGUGCGAGCGUUAAUCGGAAUUACUGGGCGUAAAGCGCGCGUAGGCGGCUUGGUAAGUCGGGUGUGAAAGCCCCGGGCUCAACCUGGGAACUGCAUUCGAUACUGCUGGGCUAGAGUACGAGAGAGGGGGGUGGAAUUCCAGGUGUAGCGGUGAAAUGCGUAGAGAUCUGGAGGAACACCAGUGGCGAAGGCGGCCCCCUGGUUCGAUACUGACGCUGAGGUGCGAAAGCGUGGGGAGCAAACAGGAUUAGAUACCCUGCUAGUCCACGCUGUAAACGAUGUCUGCUAGCCGUUGGGAUCCUUUGAGGUUUCGGUGGCGCAGCUAACGCGAUAAGCAGACCGCCUGGUGAGUACGGCCGCAAGGUUA